This 253-nucleotide ribosomal RNA is filed under the name uncultured bacterium. RNAcentral describes it as "partial 16S ribosomal RNA". It matches the Rfam family "Bacterial small subunit ribosomal RNA", at positions 524 to 776 of the family's 1533-position model. The record is from RNAcentral.
UACGUAGGGUGCAAGCGUUGUCCGGAAUUAUUGGGCGUAAAGAGCUCGUAGGUGGUCUGUCGCGUCGGCUGUGAAAACUCGGGGCUCAACCCCGAGCCUGCAGUCGAUACGGGCAGACUUGAGUGCGGUAGGGGAGACUGGAAUUCCUGGUGUAGCGGUGAAAUGCGCAGAUAUCAGGAAGAACACCCGUGGCGAAAGCGGCUCUCUGGAACGGUACUGACGCUGAGACGCGAAAGCGCGGGGAGCGAACAGG